Molecule: ribosomal RNA, 504 nt
Filed under: Creobroter labuanae
Lineage: Eukaryota; Metazoa; Arthropoda; Insecta; Mantodea; Hymenopodidae
Description: partial 16S ribosomal RNA
Rfam family: Bacterial large subunit ribosomal RNA
Source: RNAcentral
UCUAGUCUGCCCACUGAAUAAUAUUUAUUUAAAGGGCCGCGGUAUUUUGACUGUGCGAAGGUAGCAUAAUCAUUAGUCUUUUAAUUGAAGGCUUGUAUGAAUGGCUGGAUGAAGUAAAUACUGUUUUAUAUAUAUUUUUAAUUGAAUUUAGAUUUUAAGUAAAAAUACUUAAAUAAUAUUAAGGGACGAGAAGACCCUAUAGAGUUUAAUAAAUGUGAUGAUUAAUUUAAGUUAAAAAUUAAUUUAUAAUUAACAUAAAGUUUAUUUAAUUGGGGAGAUUUAAAGAUAAAUGAAACUCUUUUUAAAAUUUAAUAUUAUAGUUAGUUUUUUGAUCCAUAAAUAAUGAUUGAAAGAUUAAAUUACCUUAGGGAUAACAGCAUAAUUUUUUUUAAGAGUUCAUAUCGAAAAAGAAGAUUGUGACCUCGAUGUUGGAUUAAGAUUAGUUUUUAGGUGCAGAUGUUUAUAAACUAGGUCUGUUCGACCUUUAAAAUCUUACAUGAUCUG